RNAcentral lists this ribosomal RNA (222 nucleotides) under Shouchella rhizosphaerae. RNAcentral's name for it is "Bacillus rhizosphaerae partial 16S ribosomal RNA". It matches the Rfam family "Bacterial small subunit ribosomal RNA", at positions 37 to 250 of the family's 1533-position model. Lineage: Bacteria; Bacillati; Bacillota; Bacilli; Caryophanales; Bacillaceae. The record is from RNAcentral.
CGUGGCGGCGUGCUAAUACAUGCAAGUCGAGCGGACAGACGGGAGCUUGCUCCCGGACGUUAGCGGCGGACGGGUGAGAAACACGUGGGCAACCUGCCCCUUAGACUGGGAUAACUCCGGGAAACCGGAGCUAAUACCGGAUAAUCCCUUUCUCCACCUGGAGAGAGGGUGAAAAAUGGUUCGUCUAUAACACCUUCUGAGCCCGAGCCGUAUUAUUUGGUU